UCGGGAAUUUUGGGCAAUGGGCGAAAGCCUGACCCAGCAACGCCGCGUGAAGGAUGAAGUCUCUCGGGAUGUAAACUUCGUAAGAAUAGGAAGAAUAAAUGACGGUACUAUUUGUAAGGUCCGGCUAACUACGUGCCAGCAGCCGCGGUAAUACGUAGGGACCAAGCGUUGUUCGGAUUUACUGGGCGUAAAGGGCGCGUAGGCGGCGUGGUAAGUCACUUGUGAAAUCUCCGAGCUUAACUCGGAACGGUCAAGUGAUACUGCUGUGCUAGAGUACAGAAGGGGCAAUCGGAAUUCUUGGUGUAGCGGUGAAGUGCGUAGAUAUCAAGAGGAACACCUGAGGUGAAGACGGGUUGCUGGGCUGAUACUGACGCUGAGGCGCGAAAGCUAGGGUAGCAAACGGGAUUAGAUACCCAUGUAGUCCCUGAGCGGGCUGGCAAGGCGCAU
This 447-nucleotide ribosomal RNA is filed under the name uncultured bacterium. RNAcentral describes it as "bacterial SSU rRNA". It matches the Rfam family "Bacterial small subunit ribosomal RNA", at positions 355 to 825 of the family's 1533-position model. The record is from RNAcentral.